UGCUCUUCCUCCCGACGCGGAAGUGUCCUUUCGAGUCCCAUCUCCGUCUUCGUGGUCCUCAGAUCUGGCAGCCUCCGGCCACAACGCUGCCGGAUCUAACCAACCAAUAGGUGCUCGACGCCGCUCCUCAGGACCACGUCGGUCUUCUUCGCCUGCUCUCUCUCUCUCCCUCAACCUCCCACGGCAUGUAUCGGCCCCUUCUGAAACUCCUCAUCCGAGUGGCCACCUGAUGCCACCGUGUAGAACACGCUCACUCCUGCCUUUGCCCGCCUGUACCAGGAUUUGCUCCUGUGGUUCAAGUUGAAUACCGGGGAGAUGGAGAUGGUGACAUGGCUGGCUCCUGUGGUGGUGAGGUUCAAGUUCUACAACGAGGUGGCCGUUGGGCCUAUCUGAAGAGCAACAAUGUAACGCUUUUGAGCUUAGGUACAAGAAGUCGUAUUUGAAAGGGGACGAGAUGAUGUUCAUCAAAAUGAAACUGAAAAGGAGUGGGAAACAAUACUGGAGGAAUCGUGAUCUAUGGCAAGGGUGAUGAUGUCUAUGGCGAUGAUUGUCAUGAUCUAUAUGGCAAUGGGCGUUAUGAUCCAUAUGGUGAUGAAGAUGAGUCUGAUCUUUCUUCAGGAUAUGCAACAAAGUGAACUUAUGAAGUUUUGGUCAAUUUUAGCUUAUGCAUAAUUCUUGGACCAUUAUAUAUUAGUUACUAUUUUUGUUUAGCAUUUCAAACUUCCUAGAUAGAUCAUUAUGAUCGAUGUAAUUUGGAUGCGCUAAAUAUACUAUA
This is a long non-coding RNA of Triticum dicoccoides, 775 nucleotides long. RefSeq lists it as uncharacterized. The transcript has 4 exons. The record is from RefSeq and is a predicted model, not a curated record. NCBI's taxonomy places the organism in Eukaryota, Viridiplantae, Streptophyta, Magnoliopsida, Poales, Poaceae.